Small nucleolar RNA from Pipistrellus kuhlii (Kuhl's pipistrelle), 80 nucleotides. RefSeq annotates it as small nucleolar RNA U105B. The transcript has a single exon. The record is from RefSeq and is a predicted model, not a curated record. Lineage: Eukaryota; Metazoa; Chordata; Mammalia; Chiroptera; Vespertilionidae.
CUGGGUGCGGCUGAUGACAAUGCUGCUGCUGAGGCUCAGUGAUUGCUCAGUCUCGAAGUAAACGCCCUGACGCUCCAUGA